UUGUAGUAAUCGGCUGACCCUCCA
Molecule: microRNA, 24 nt
Filed under: Haemonchus contortus (barber pole worm)
Lineage: Eukaryota; Metazoa; Nematoda; Chromadorea; Rhabditida; Trichostrongylidae
Description: hco-miR-5975
Source: miRBase by way of RNAcentral